This 2323-nucleotide long non-coding RNA is filed under the name Homo sapiens (human). RNAcentral describes it as "HSALNT0351968". The record is from RNAcentral. Lineage: Eukaryota; Metazoa; Chordata; Mammalia; Primates; Hominidae.
CCCCGGCCUCUGGUUUUUGUCCCCGCCAGCGGCUCCGACUCCAUCGCGUCCUCUUCCAGUCUAGUGCUUUUUUCCAGAUCUCGAUCCCAAACUCCCUCCUGCCAGAAUCUGGACCCGAAUCCACCCAUUGCCCGUUUUCCGCUGCCGCUGGAGAGAAUCUCUGAGGUCCCCAGGAGAGCCUGCCUGCACGGAAGAGACGCCUCCUCGAUACCUGGGAGAGAGGAUUUUUCAUGUUACCAACACAAAGAAAUGAUAAAGUGCUUCCCUUGCAGGUGAAAUGGCCACCAGACCCAGGCUUUCUGGAAUGCAUUCAUUUUCUGCAGUUGAAAGGGACAAUCCCGGAUCUGAAAGAAAGAGCCACAGUGACUCCAAGAGUGGAGCCAGGGCAUGCUGGACACUGCAUAGCUAUGGCCACGUGUGUCACCUCCGAGGGAGAUGUGAGAGAAACGCAGAGGGAUCGCUUGUGACUGUGCCUUCUCGAUGUAUGAUGGACUGUUCUGCUCAAAUAGUAAGUGUGACCAAGGAGCCGGUGAACAUAGGAAACAAAGAAUAUUUCAUUUGACAUUAUAAGGAAUGCGACAAUUCUAGUCACUUGAAAGUGAACUAUAUCUGUCGAGAAUUCCUAGUUUUAAUUGGGAAGAAAUGUGCUUCUCUUCUUGAAAAGCCACAGGUUAUUGCUGUUAUGUCUAAUAUCAGUCCUCUCUGGAUUUCUCAAAAGAUUUUCUGUAUAUCCUACCAUUUUCCUUCUGUUGCUGCAGUUUGGAAGUAGUUUGUUAUCAGGAUUAUCAAAGCAUCAUUGCUAUUUAUGACAAUGACUUUAAGAAAUGCAAGAAUAUUUGGAACACUGUAGAAAAAAUAUUUUAGCCUGGAAGGCAAAUACUAAUUUCAGGAACUAUUGAUCUGUUAUAAAACAGGACCACUCAGACAUUUAGCUCUAAGACUUUCACAUAUCCGUUGUUAGAGGCGUAUAGUGGGGGGCAUGACUCAGCUUCUGCUUAAGUACAAGGUGUUGUCUGCAGCGAAGGAAGAAUUUGAUUGUAGUAUCAACAGAACCAGACAGAACUCUUUGAAUAUAAUUAUAUAUCUUGGAAACUGACUCAUCAAAGCUAUUAGAUUACAUGGCAUCAUUUAAGCAUCACUGGGCUCUGUACUUUUCAUUAUCUGUACUUUUCAUUAUGGAGUAUAAUAGGCUUUAUUUGGUACAGAAAUUGGGUCUAAGAUGAAACAACUUGUGAUUUUUGAAUAAACUUUUGGGGAUUAGUUACUUUGAUGUUGUCAAGAUAGCACCAUAGUAAGUCCUCUGUCUUUCCUCUUGAUUUAUUUAUAAUUUAGAAUCAGUUUAUGAUUUUAAAAAAUGUGACAGACACAGUGGCAUGCACCAGUAGUACCAGCCACAUGGGAAACUGAGGCAGAAGGAUCACUUGAUCCCAGAAGAUAGAGACCACCCUGGGCAACAUAGUGAGAGCCCCAUCUCAAAAAAAAAAAAAAAUCAAUUCCCAAUACCAUUCCAGAACACUUUUAAUAUAACCAGAUGAAAUUGUGAUCACUACUUUACUGUAAUGUUUAAAAUGGUCCUCAGUCCAUAUUUAAGUACAAUCUUAGUGUUUCUGUGCAACCUAAUAUAUUAGAAACAAAAAUUGUAUUGCAUUUGAAUAGGAAAUACUCUGAAUUGAGGGUUAUUUCUUUUAACAGUUGCAAUUAGAUUGGUUAGUGACAAUUAUCUGUAAUUUUCAGGCAAUGCCUAGGCAAGUGCCCAAGGCACAGUAGCCUCCUCCUUGCCUCCGUGUGUGUGUGUGUGUGUGUGUGUGUGUGUGUGUAGGGUGGUAACAUUUCUGGGAAUUUGUCUUAACAUAAAAUGAUACCACCUUUCACAAAACGACCUAGAGGAAGUUGGAAAUCCCACUAUCCUGGCUUCCUGCUGAGCAAUAUCUGCUUCUCUUUCUGACUCAGGCUGAUGCAUCUGUAUACUUAGCUUCACUUCUCCAGUAAAUAAGGGAGAGCUUUAUUAUAAAAGACAACUUCUAUUGAUUUUCAAGGGGGUGGGUGGUUGUCAAGCUCACUCCUUUCUAUGCACUGAGGGAAAAUUAUUGUAAGCGAUCUGUAAAACAAUAGAUGAAAAAAGAGGAGAUAAAAAUUAAAUAAAAUUUAAAUAAAAACUAGGAUCCUAAGUGGAAAAAUAGCUUUAAAUUAGAAAUUGAUACCAAAAAAUAAUGAUAUGUAAUCUAAGGUGAAAAUAUUUUGAAGACUAUCACGAUAUCUCCCUUAAAUGUUAUUUAGUUCUGAAAAAUAUGUAUUGAAGAACUGUUAUAUUUUACUUUAUGUC